AGUGAACGCUGGCGGUAGGCCUAACACAUGCAAGUCGAACGGCAGCACAGUAAGAGCUUGCUCUUACGGGUGGCGAGUGGCGGACGGGUGAGGAAUACAUCGGAAUCUACUUUUUCGUGGGGGAUAACGUAGGGAAACUUACGCUAAUACCGCAUACGACCUACGGGUGAAAGCAGGGGAUCUUCUGACCUUGCGCGAUUGAAUGAGCCGAUGUCGGCUUAGCUAGUUGGCGGGGUAAAGGCCCACCAAGGCGACGAUCCGUAGCUGGUCUGAGAGGAUGAUCAGCCACACUGGAACUGAGACACGGUCCAGACUCCUACGGGAGGCAGCAGUGGGGAAUAUUGGACAAUGGGCGAAAGCCUGAUCCAGCCAUACCGCGUGGGUGAAGAAGGCCUUCGGGUUGUAAAGCCCUUUUGUUGGGAAAGAAAAGCAGCAGGUUAAUACCCCGCUGUUCUGACGGUACCCAAAGAAUAAGCACCGGCUAACUUCGUG
RNAcentral lists this ribosomal RNA (492 nucleotides) under uncultured bacterium. RNAcentral describes it as "partial 16S ribosomal RNA". It matches the Rfam family "Bacterial small subunit ribosomal RNA", at positions 29 to 507 of the family's 1533-position model. The record is from RNAcentral.